ACCUGAGUAGCUUAUAUAAUCAGAGCAUGGCACUGAAGAUGCUAAGGAAGCGAUUUCCGCUCUCGGGUA
RNAcentral lists this transfer RNA (69 nucleotides) under Littoraria sinensis. RNAcentral's name for it is "tRNA-Phe". It matches the Rfam family "tRNA". From Rfam's summary of the family: Transfer RNA (tRNA) molecules are approximately 80 nucleotides in length. The record is from RNAcentral. Lineage: Eukaryota; Metazoa; Mollusca; Gastropoda; Littorinimorpha; Littorinidae.